GGAAUAUUGGACAAUGGGCGCAAGCCUAAUCCAGCCAUGCCGCGUGCAGGAUGAAGCAUCUAUGGUGUGUAAACUGCUUUUGUACGGGAAGAAACACCUCUUCGUGAAGAGGCUUGACGGUACCGUAAGGAUAAGGACCGGCUAACUCCGUGCCAGCAGCCGCGGUAAUACGGAGGGUCCGAGCGUUAUCCGGAAUCAUUGGGUUUAAAGGGUCCGUAGGCGGCUUUAUAAGUCAGUGGUGAAAUCCGGCAGCUCAACUGUCGAACUGCCAUUGAUACUGUAGGGCUUGAAUUAUUGUGAAGUAACUAGAAUAUGUAGUGUAGCGGUGAAAUGCUUAGAUAUUACAUGGAAUACCAAUUGCGAAGGCAGGUUACUAACAAUACAUUGACGCUGAUGGACGAAAGCGUGGGGAGCGAACAGGAUUAGAUACCCUUG
RNAcentral lists this ribosomal RNA (435 nucleotides) under uncultured Flavobacterium sp. Its description in RNAcentral is "bacterial SSU rRNA". It matches the Rfam family "Bacterial small subunit ribosomal RNA", at positions 358 to 790 of the family's 1533-position model. The record is from RNAcentral. Lineage: Bacteria; Pseudomonadati; Bacteroidota; Flavobacteriia; Flavobacteriales; Flavobacteriaceae.